RNAcentral lists this ribosomal RNA (400 nucleotides) under phytoplankton environmental sample. Its description in RNAcentral is "partial small subunit ribosomal RNA". It matches the Rfam family "Eukaryotic small subunit ribosomal RNA", at positions 587 to 991 of the family's 1831-position model. The record is from RNAcentral.
AGCUCCAAUAGCGUAUAUUAAAGCUGUUGCGGUUAAAAAGCUCGUAGUUGGAUUUCUGUCAGGGACAACUGGUCCGCCCUCUGGGUGAGCACACAGUUUGGUCUUGUCAUCUUGCUGGAACCUGUUGCUGCACUUGGCUGUGUGGCGCAGCGUCUAGCACCUUCACUUUGAGGAAAUUGGAGUGUUUCAAGCAGGCUCAUGCCUUUGAACACAGCAGCAUGGAAUUAUUUGAUUGGGCUUUUGCUCCACUUUGUCGGUUCUGGAGCUGAGGUGAGAGUUAAUGGGGAUUGUUGGGGGCAUCCGAAUUUAGCCGUCAGAGGUGAAAUUCUUGGAUCAGCUAAAGACGGACAACUGCGAAAGCAUUUGCCCAGGAUGUUUUCAUUGAUCAAGAACGAAAGUA